GAUGAACGCUGGCGGCGUGCUUAACACAUGCAAGUCGAACGAAAAGGCCAGGCUUUUGCGGGUGGCCGGAGUGCCGAACGGGGGGGAAAAACGGGGGUAACCACCCCUUGAUUUCGGGAUAACUCCAGGAAAAUGGGGCUAUAACAGGACAGGUAAUCCUGCACAAUGUGGGGGCACGGAAAGUUUCGGGGGUUGGGGAUGGACUGGCGGCUUAUGAGCUUGUUGGGGGGGUAGGGGCUUACCAGGGCUUUGACGGGUAGCCGGCCUGAGAGGGUGACCGGCCACAUUGGGACUGAGAUACGGCCCAGACUCCUACGGGAGGCAGCAGUGGGGAAUAUUACACAAUGGGCGGGAGCCAGAUGCAGCAACGCCGCGUGCGGGAUGACGGCCUUCGGGUUGUAAACCGAUUUCGCCUGUGACGAGGCGUGAGUGACGGUAAUUGGUAAAGAAGCACCGGCUAACUACGUG
Molecule: ribosomal RNA, 468 nt
Filed under: uncultured bacterium
Lineage: Bacteria
Description: partial 16S ribosomal RNA
Rfam family: Bacterial small subunit ribosomal RNA
Source: RNAcentral